CAUACAGAGAUUUACCUCACCUUGCUGCAAUCAGUGUUGGGGCUGAUGGGGUAGGGGAUGUUGACACCGCAUUUGUUGGGGAGGGCGGCGACGAGACCAUAUUUGAGGCCGAGGCUAGGGUUGGCCAGAGACUUGAGGCAGGUACAGGCAGUCUGGCGGUCAGUAGUCGUCCUAGCUGCAUUAGCAAGGCCCUUGACCCCGGAGCAGCAUCCCGGCGGCGGGAUGGUCCCAACACCUCUAGCGUAGGGGAGGCAGGGGGAGAGGGCCGAGACAACCUGGCCGCAAGUAAUCGCCGAGGUGGUACCGAUGAGGAGGGCGAGGAGGAGGAAGGCACAGAGAGCAGAAGAGCGAGCCAUGGAGGUAGAGUUGUGGGGAGAACGGGGCUGAAGG
This 390-nucleotide unclassified non-coding RNA is filed under the name Hevea brasiliensis (rubber tree). The record is from RNAcentral. Lineage: Eukaryota; Viridiplantae; Streptophyta; Magnoliopsida; Malpighiales; Euphorbiaceae.